CGCGAAACUUCUAUAAGAGGUCCAGCCUGCCCAGUGACAUUUUUAAACGGCCGCGGUACCCUGACCGUGCGAACGUAGCAUAAUCACUUGUUCUUUAAAUGGGGACUAGUAUCAACGGCAUCACGAGGAUUUUACUGUCUCCUUUCUCUAAUCGGUGAAACUGAUCUCCCCGUGAAGAAGCGGGGAUAAAACUAUAAGACGAGAAGACCCCAUGGAGCUUUAAACCCAGUGACAUCUCAAACACUCCGCCCCCCAAAAGUUUUUAUGCAUUGUCUACUGGUUUUAGGUUGGGGUGACCGCGGAGUAUAACCUAACCUCCACAGCGCACGAAGCUUCCUUCUUAUCCAAGAGCUACAUCUCUAAGAAUUAAUAUAUUGACGUAAGAUGAUCCAAUAAUCUUGAUCAAUGAACCAAGUUACCCUGGGGAUAACAGCGCAAUCCAUUUCUAGAGCCCCUAUCGACAAAUGGGUUUACGACCUCGAUGUUGGAUCAGGGUAUCCCAGUGGUGCAGCCGCUACUAAUGGUUUGUUUGUUCAACAAUUAAAACCCUACGUGAUCUGGAUUUCAGACGGGGG
RNAcentral lists this ribosomal RNA (575 nucleotides) under Minervarya sahyadris. RNAcentral's name for it is "Fejervarya sahyadris partial large subunit ribosomal RNA". It matches the Rfam family "Bacterial large subunit ribosomal RNA", at positions 1832 to 2622 of the family's 2925-position model. Lineage: Eukaryota; Metazoa; Chordata; Amphibia; Anura; Dicroglossidae. The record is from RNAcentral.